GCGUGUGUAGUAUAGUGGUCAGUACCUCACCUUGUGGCGGUGAAAUCCCUGGUUCGAAUCCGGGCACGCGCACCA
This 75-nucleotide transfer RNA is filed under the name Soehngenia saccharolytica. Its description in RNAcentral is "tRNA-His". It matches the Rfam family "tRNA". Rfam says of the family: Transfer RNA (tRNA) molecules are approximately 80 nucleotides in length. Their secondary structure includes four short double-helical elements and three loops (D, anti-codon, and T loops). The record is from RNAcentral. Lineage: Bacteria; Bacillati; Bacillota; Tissierellia; Tissierellales; Tissierellaceae.